RNAcentral lists this small RNA (129 nucleotides) under Pantoea agglomerans. RNAcentral describes it as "isrA Hfq binding RNA". It matches the Rfam family "isrA Hfq binding RNA". The record is from RNAcentral. Lineage: Bacteria; Pseudomonadati; Pseudomonadota; Gammaproteobacteria; Enterobacterales; Erwiniaceae. RNAcentral also lists the same sequence under 1 other name.
ACGGCCACGGUGACCGGCGUAUCGGUCCCAAACCCUGCCUCCUCCAGCCAGUUGCCUUUGAGAUGCAGGCUGGGCGUGCGGCUGUAGUACGUGGUCAUACCGGUCGAACGUUUUUCGUGACGGAUGCUG